RNAcentral lists this long non-coding RNA (2377 nucleotides) under Homo sapiens (human). RNAcentral's name for it is "HSALNT0384363". The record is from RNAcentral. Lineage: Eukaryota; Metazoa; Chordata; Mammalia; Primates; Hominidae.
GCUGAGGGGAUAUGACCAAAGACUAUAUCCAGUGCAGUCCAAAUUACACAAGGCAAAAUACAAAGACAAUGCCAAGAUGGGUAGAAAAGUUAGGAUAUAGGUUAGGAUGGAAGAUGUGACCUGUGAGAUUCAAUGUUGGCAGAGAAAUCAUCUGUGUCAAAUUCCACAAACCAGAAUUCACAAAGUUGCUGAGCCCACACAUGUAGGAUGAAAGAGAGUAAUGAAAACUAAUGACAGGAAACCAGCACCCUGACAAACAGAGUGGACCCCUGUGAAUUCCUUUUGUAGCAGACUCCAUUGGGUAACAACACUGGAGUGCAUUUUCUGCUUCCUCCAGUUUAAGUAAAUCCUACUUUUGUGCAGGUAACAAUGUGCCUGAUGCUGCAAAUGAAUCAUAACUGCUGUAGCCAAUCGCUGAGAUUCCAGUUCACCUUGCCAGUGAUUGAUGUAGAGAUUGGCCAAUGACAUCUAAGAAAACGACUGCAGUGACGAAUUCUGGGAAUUAUUUUCCUGCAGUAAAAUGCAAGACGUGUGAAGGAGAAACUCCUCUUCUCCUUCCUUCUGAUGAGAGUGCUGCCCUGUGAGAACGUGAUAUGGGGUAGAUGGCAGACAUCUUGGAAGAAGGAAAGAAAGGCCAACGGAAGCACAGGGAUUGCAAACCACUGCCCUGAUACCAAAAAGCCUCUGAAUCAACCCUGGAACUGGGAGGUGGAGAGUUAUUUAUUUUUGUAAAUAACUCUUAGCUUUUCCAUAACUCUUAGCUUGUCUAUAACUCACAGAUAAUAGCAUCUUAACUGAUAAUACUGAUAUGAUCUCAAGAGUAUGUUCUAUAAACAAAAGUGUUGCGUAGUCAGCUGAGUUAGAAAAACGUUGUAUAUUAUAUCCAACUCUUUGUAUUUCAUUUUUGCAAAUUAAAGGCUAUGAGAAGACCUGCAGUUAAAAAAUAAAAACUGUUUAGCUUUUUUUAACAUGGUAUUUCCUAAAAUUAAUCAUAUGAUCAUUUUAAAGACUCCUUAAUAUCUUCAAGAUAUUAAGCACUUCACAGUGUCUGUUUUGGAAAAAUUAAUUUAGGCUUCGUGAGAAAAAGAAAGGAGAUCCUAACACCAAGUAUUGGAUACGCCAAUUCCUACACAGCCUCGAUGGGGCACAAAACAGAAAGCGCAGCUUUAUCUUUCUAAAUCAUCUGCUAUUUCCAGGAGGCCAAGGAAAAGGAAUAAAUUUGACAACUAUCCACUUAUAUCCCUGAAUUCUGACAACAGAAUGCACUAAUGAAGGACCCUCGACAUGAUAACACGGCCACAGUCCAGUCAUCCUGGAUAGCAAAUCUGGAAAUGCAUUUUGACUGCUGCACUUAGGACACAUUUUUAUUGUGGCUUGCAGACAGUUACCCUUCAACGAUGUGGUAACUAAACAGAUUUCUAAUUUUCUUCCACUCUCUUUCUAAGAAAGCAAAAUGAGAUUGAGGAAAAUGCAUUUCAUUGAGAUGGACAGGAUGAACCAGUAAUUCAGACUACAGGAAAAAAGCAGUAAGACAGUUCAGAAAAGCUUAAAAAUCUUGAAGUCUGUUCCAUGAAGGAAAGGGUCACAACGAAUGUCGGCACAGUACUUCACAAACCUGAUGCCAACAGCAACUGUGAAAUGGAAGCAACUCUACAAAUUAUUGCCAUCAUGAGACUAUCAUUAGGUCUACAUAGCUCAAGCUUCACUUGGAGUUCAAUUGUGUGAUUCAGAAGCACAGCUAGGAUAAGUCAGAGACUGGAAAGGGGAAGAGGAGAGACGUGCAGGAUAUUUUUUUUUAACCAGUGAAACAACUCCCGACUUCCAGGACCAGACAAUAUACUUAAUGCACAAAACCAAUAUAUUUUAUGGCCUAAAUGAAAAAAAGUAAAGUGGAAGGUCGGGCGCUGUUCCUUUAAGAUGCUUCCAGAAUCAAAUACCACUCUUGAAAGGGCUGCCAAACAAUGUAUCCAGGUAAAGAAUGAAAAAAAUAUAUUCAGAGGAAAGGCAGGAGGAUGUGUGGAAAGCUCAGUGAGAUUAUGGAAGUGCAGUAAUUGAAUAUGACACAAGAGUCAAGUGCAAGAGGGAACUGGCUGGAGUGCAGUGGCGCAAUCUCAGCUCACUGAAACCUCCACCUCCCAGGUUCAAGUGAUUCUCCUGCCUCAGCCUCCCGAGUACCUGGGAUUCCAGGUGAGCGCCACCACACCCGGCUAAUUUUUGCAUUUGUAGCAGAGAUGGAGUUUUGCCAUGUUGGCCAGGCUGGUCUUGAACUCCUGACCUCAAAUGAUCCGCCCGCCUGGGCCUCCCAAACUGCUGGCAUUACAGGCGCAAGCCACUGCACCUGGCCUUAAUCACUUUUUGCUGAAAUAAAUUGCACACU